CAGCCCUAUAGGAGACACCUCCAGAGAAAGUAACAACUCUCAGUUGAUUAGCUGAGGUAUGUAUGUCAUUUAUGGCAAUACCUGUCUCCAUCCCCUCCGUCUUCUUCUAGGAGACCAAUUUUGUAAAUUGCUACUUUUCUAACAACAGUGGCACAGGUGGCCCAGCAUUCUCCCUUUUCUCAGAGCUGGUUUUCCAUCCUGGAAAGAGGUCUUACAUAUACAAAGUUACUCUAAUCAGUUGUUCUCCACCAGCAGAGAGCAGAGAAGAGGAGAAGCAGCUGGACGUCUCUUGACGUUGGAGAAAAGCAGCUUGACUUCAGAGGGACAGUUUGACAGCAUGGAUUCAGAAAGGAGAAGAUCACCUUCCUGCUCCAUCCC
This 378-nucleotide long non-coding RNA is filed under the name Pongo abelii (Sumatran orangutan). Its description in RNAcentral is "lincRNA". Lineage: Eukaryota; Metazoa; Chordata; Mammalia; Primates; Hominidae. The record is from RNAcentral.